GAACGCUGGCGGCAUGCUUUACACAUGCAAGUCGAACGGCAGCGCGGGCUUCGGCCUGGCGGCGAGUGGCGAACGGGUGAGUAAUACAUCGGAACGUGCCCAGUAGUGGGGGAUAGCUCGGCGAAAGCCGGAUUAAUACCGCAUACGACCUGAGGGUGAAAGCGGGGGAUCUUCGGACCUCGCGCUAUUGGAGCGGCCGAUGGCAGAUUAGCUAGUUGGUGGGGUAAAGGCCUACCAAGGCGACGAUCUGUAGCUGGUCUGAGAGGACGACCAGCCACACUGGGACUGAGACACGGCCCAGACUCCUACGGGAGGCAGCAGUGGGGAAUUUUGGACAAUGGGCGAAAGCCUGAUCCAGCAAUGCCGCGUGUGUGAUGAAGGCCUUCGGGUUGUAAAGCACUUUUGGCGGGAACGAAAAGGACUGUGCCAAUACCACGGUUCGAUGACGGUACCCGCAGAAUAAGCACCGGCUAACUACGUG
RNAcentral lists this ribosomal RNA (481 nucleotides) under uncultured bacterium. RNAcentral describes it as "partial 16S ribosomal RNA". It matches the Rfam family "Bacterial small subunit ribosomal RNA", at positions 31 to 507 of the family's 1533-position model. The record is from RNAcentral.